AGCUCAGAGGUAGAGCGCUUGCCUCGCACGCAUGAGGCCCUGGGUUCGAUUCCUCAG
RNAcentral lists this transfer RNA (57 nucleotides) under Dipodomys ordii (Ord's kangaroo rat). It matches the Rfam family "tRNA", at positions 9 to 63 of the family's 71-position model. From Rfam's summary of the family: Transfer RNA (tRNA) molecules are approximately 80 nucleotides in length. Lineage: Eukaryota; Metazoa; Chordata; Mammalia; Rodentia; Heteromyidae. The record is from Rfam by way of RNAcentral.